GUACUGCUCACUCAAGCAGCACAUGUACUAACACUGGAACAAUACAGAGGAGAUUAGCAUGGUCGCUGCUCAAGGAUGAAAUAGAAAUUCACAAAGCACUCCAUAAGAAA
This is a small nuclear RNA of Heterocephalus glaber (naked mole-rat), 110 nucleotides long. The record is from Ensembl. NCBI's taxonomy places the organism in Eukaryota, Metazoa, Chordata, Mammalia, Rodentia, Bathyergidae.